GGUGCUUGCAUUGGGAGGAGAGUGGCGAACGGGUGAGUAACACGUGGAUAAUCUGCCUUCAGGAUUGGGAUAACUGUGGGAAACUACAGCUAAUACCGGAUAAGAUGGUAGCUUCACAAGAAGUAGUCAUUAAAGGUGGGGACCUUCGGGCCUACCGCCUGAAGAUGAGUCCGCGGCCCAUUAGCUUGUUGGUAGGGUAACGGCCUACCAAGGCUGCGAUGGGUAGCCGGCCUGAGAGGGUGAUCGGCCACAUUGGGACUGAGAUACGGCCCAGACUUCUACGGAAGGCAGCAGUUAAGAAUCUUGCGCAAUGGGCGAAAGCCUGACGCAGCGACGCCGCGUGGACGAUGAAGGCCUUCGGGUUGUAAAGUCCGGUAAGCAGGGAAGAAUAAGUUUCGCUGAAUAAGCGGAACGAUGACGGUACCUGCCUAAAGCCCCGGCUAACUACGUGCCAGCAGCCGCGGUAAUACGUAUGGGGCGAGCGUUGUUCGGAGUUAUUGGGCAUAAAGGGCGUCUAGGCGGGGAAUUAAGUUAGGUGUGAAAGCCAUGGGCUCAACCCGUGAAUUGCAUCUAAAACUGAUUCUCUUGAGUUCGGGAGAGGAGAGCGGAAUUCCUGGUGUAGCGGUGAAAUGCGUAGAUAUCAGGAAGAACACCAGUGGCGAAGGCGGAUCUCUGGCCUAGAACUGACGCUGAAGCGCGAAAGCGUGGGGAGCGAACGGGAUUAGAUACCCCGGU
This 735-nucleotide ribosomal RNA is filed under the name uncultured organism. RNAcentral describes it as "bacterial SSU rRNA". It matches the Rfam family "Bacterial small subunit ribosomal RNA", at positions 75 to 791 of the family's 1533-position model. The record is from RNAcentral.